Molecule: long non-coding RNA, 353 nt
Filed under: Homo sapiens (human)
Lineage: Eukaryota; Metazoa; Chordata; Mammalia; Primates; Hominidae
Description: HSALNT0013020
Source: RNAcentral
CUCAACUUGGUGUCUGAGGGUUUUGUCUGCGGCUCGUCCUGCUACAUUUCUUGGUGCCCCGACCAGGAAGUGAGGUGAUUAGCGGACGGUUGAGGCAACCCCUUAGGUGGCUUAGGCCUGCCCUGUGGAGCAUCCCUGUGGGGCACUCUGGCCAGCUUUAGCGACACAAAUCCUGAGAGCACUCCCGGGUAGGCAAUUGCCCUGGUGGAAUGCCUUGCCAGAGCAGUGCACGGUAGGCCCCCAUGGAGGAUCAACGCAGUGGCUGAACACCCAGAAGGAAUUGGCGCUUGGACUCCAGACAUCUGGAACACGCUGCCCCAUGGAGAGGUCCAAGCUGCAAGAAACUGAUACCU